UUAGCCUUAAACCUCAAUAGUUAAACAACAAAACUAUUCGCCAGAAUACUACAAGCAACAGCUUAAAACUCAAAGGACUUGGCGGUGCUUUAUAUUCCCCCUAGAGGAGCCUGUUCCAUAAUCGAUAAACCCCGAUCCACCCUACCCUCUCUUGCUCAGCCUAUAUACCGCCAUCUUCAGCAAACCCUGACGAAGGCCACAAAGUGAGCGCAAAUGCCCUCCCCGCCGCAAAAACGUUAGGUCAAGGUGUAGCCCAUGAGACGGUAAAAAAUGGGCUACAUUUUCUACCUCAGAAAAUCUUACGAUACCUCUUAUGAAACCUAAGAGUCUAAGGAGGAUUUAGCAGUAAAU
Molecule: ribosomal RNA, 351 nt
Filed under: Cercocebus torquatus (collared mangabey)
Lineage: Eukaryota; Metazoa; Chordata; Mammalia; Primates; Cercopithecidae
Description: partial 12S small subunit ribosomal RNA
Source: RNAcentral